Molecule: small nucleolar RNA, 95 nt
Filed under: Zea mays
Lineage: Eukaryota; Viridiplantae; Streptophyta; Magnoliopsida; Poales; Poaceae
Description: Small nucleolar RNA R30/Z108
Rfam family: Small nucleolar RNA R30/Z108
About the family: snoR30 is a C/D box small nucleolar RNA which acts as a methylation guide for 18S ribosomal RNA in plants.
Source: Rfam by way of RNAcentral
AAUUGUUGCGAUGAGGAUACCAAACUCCCUCUUCUGAAGGCAUUGAGGCUCGCAGGCAGAAUCAAACCAAUAAUCCUAUUGCCACCACUGAGUAA